CGAGCAGUUGGUGGAUGCCUUGGCGCACAGAGCCGAUGAAGGACGCAGAAAGCCUGCGAUAGUCCCCGGGGAGUUGCAAUCAAACAUUGAUCCGGGGGUUUCCGAAUGGGGCAACCCCUCCCACGCAGGUGGGAGACUCCUGUCUGAAUACAUAGGGCAGGAGGGGGAAUCGAGGGAAGUGAAACAUCUCAGUACCUCGAAGAACAGAAAGCACAAGCGAUUCCGUUAGUAGCGGCGAGCGAAACCGGAACAGCCUAAACCAUUGCAGCGCAUAGCGUGCAGGCGUUGCUGCAGUGGGGUUGUAGGACCGACCAGUCCAGGUUGCACCCUGGAGCGGGAGUUACAAACGUUCUUGAUAGUCGAACCCCCUGGAAAGAGGGGCCAUAGCGGGUGACAGCCCCGUAGACGAAAUCAUGAGCACUCCUGGGUAGGUUCCUGAGUACCGCGGGACACGAGAAAUCUUGUGGGAAGCUACCACGACCAUGUGGUAAGGCUAAAUACUCUGGCGACCGAUAGUGAACUAGUACCGCGAGGGAAAGGUGAAAAGAACCCCGGAAGGGGAGUGAAAGAGAAUCUGAAACCAAUUGCUUACGAGCGGUAGGAGCCCUAUGUGACGCAAGUCACAGGGUGACUGCAUGCCUAUUGAAGAAUGAGCCGACGAGUUAUUGCAACUAGCGAGGUUAAGGGAGAUCCCCGGAGCCGCAGCGAAAGCGAGUGUGAAUAGCGCGUUAGUUAGUUGCAGUAGACCCGAAGCCGGGUGAUCUACCCAUGGACAGGUUGAAGGGGCGUUAACCCGCUCUGGAGGACCGAACACGUUAGGGGAAAAAUCCUAUGUGAUGAGCUGUGGGUGGCGGAGAAAUUCCAAUCGAACCCGGGAAUAGCUGGUUCUCUCCGAAAUGCAUUUAGGUGCAGCGGCAGGUAAUUAGUGUGUGGGGGUAGAGCACUGAAUGGACUAGGGGCCUCACCAGGUUUCCAAACCCAAUCAAACUCCGAAUACCACAUAUCUGUAUCCUGCUAGUGAGACUGUGGGUACUAAGAUUCAUAGUCAAAAGGGGAACAGCCCAGACCGUCAGCUAAGGUCCCUAAGGUAAGCUAAGUGCUAGAGAAGGAUGUGGGGUUACUCAAACAGCCAGGAGGUUAGCUCAGAAGCAGCUAUCCUUUAAAGAGUGCGUAACAGCUCACUGGUCGAGUGAUCCUGCGCCGAAAAUGUAGAGGGGCUAAGUUUUACACCGAAGCUGCGGAUUUCGCCGUAAGGCGGAGUGGUAGGAGAGCGUCCGUGUUGCAGAGAAGGCAUACCGUAAGGAGUGCUGGAGCGUCACGGAGUGAGAAUGUCGGCUUAAGUAGCGCAUAAACGAGUGAGAAUCUCGUUCGCCGGAAAUCUAAGGUUUCCUGGGGAAGGCUCGUCCUCCCAGGGUUAGUCGGUCCUAAGGCGAGGCCGAAAGGCGUAACUGAUGGAUAACGGGUUAAUAGUCCCGUACUGUCAUGCUUCGUUUGAAGGAUGGGGUGGUACAGAAGGAUAAGCUGAGCGCGACCGAUGGUAGUUCGCGUCCAAUCAGCGAGGGUGGGGAGAAUGGCAAAACCGUUUCCCCGUAAGCCUGAGCUGUGAUGGGGAGCCGCAAGGUGAAGCAGCUGUGUUCAUGCUGGCAGGAAAAACCUCUCACGAGAAGUAUGGCAACCGUACCGCAAACCAACACAGGUAGAUCGGGAGUAGACUCCCAAGGCGUGCGAAAGAACCCUCUUUAAGGAACUCGGCAAAAAGGUCCCGUAACUUCGGAAGAAGGGAUGCCUCACGCAAGUGGGGCCACAGGAAAUAGGCUCAAGCGACUGUUUAACAAAAACACAGGUCUCUGCUAAGUCGUAAGACGACGUAUAGGGGCUGACGCCUGCCCGGUGCUGGAAGGUUACAGAGAGGAGUCAAGGGGAUUCGUCCCCUGAAGCCCUGAACUUAAGCCCCAGUGAACGGCGGCCGUAACUAUAACGGUCCUAAGGUAGCGAAAUACCUUGUCGGGCAAGUUCCGACGCGCAUGAAUGGCGUAACGACUUGAGCGCUGUCUCAAAGAGGGAUUCGGUGAAAUAGCAGUGCCCGUACAGAUGCGGGCUACGUGUGGCAGGACGGAAAGACCCCGUAGAGCUUUACUGUACUCUGAUAUUGAAGUUUGGUUGUAGCUGCACAGGAUAGAUGGGAGACUUGGAAACUGGGGCUUCGGCUUCAGCGGAGUCGUCCUUGGGAUACCAUCCUUCUUCAACUCGACUUCUAACUCCUCGCCCUCAGCGGGCUGGAGGACAAUGUCAGACGGGCAGUUUGACUGGGGCGGUCGCCUCCCAAAGAGUAACGGAGGCGCCCAAAGGUUCCCUCAGGCUGUUUGGAAAUCAGCCAUAGAGUGUAAAGGCAUAAGGGAGCUUGACUGUAAGAGAGACAUCUCGAGCAGACACGAAAGUGGGGCUUAGUGAUCUGGUGGUUUCAGCAUGGAAUGGCCAUCACUCAAGGAAUAAAAGCUACCUCGGGGAUAACAGGCUGAUCCCUCCCAAGAGUCCACAUCGACGGGGGGGUUUGGCACCUCGAUGUCGGCUCGUCCUAUCCUGGAGCUGGAGCAGGUUCCAAGGGUCCGGCUGUUCGCCGGUUAAAAGGGCACGCGAGCUGGGUUCAGAACGUCGUAAGACAGUUCGGUCCUUAUCCGCCACAUGUAUUAGAGAUUUGACGAGAUUUCCCGGUAGUACGAGAGGACCCCGGGAAGUCGACCGCUGGUGUACCAGUUGUCCCGCCAGGGGCACGGAGCUGGGUAGCUAUGUCGACAUUGGAUAAGUGCUGAAGGCAUAUAAGCGCGAAGCCAACUCGAAGACGUGAUCUCUCAUCGUCGCAAGACGAGGUAGACCCCUGGUAGACUACCAGGUUGAUAGGCUGGAGGUGUAAGCACAGCAAUGUGUUGAGCUGACCAGUACUAAUAGGUCGGGGACGUAAUU
RNAcentral lists this ribosomal RNA (2961 nucleotides) under soil metagenome. Its description in RNAcentral is "bacterial LSU rRNA". It matches the Rfam family "Bacterial large subunit ribosomal RNA". The record is from RNAcentral.